Molecule: ribosomal RNA, 481 nt
Filed under: uncultured bacterium
Lineage: Bacteria
Description: partial 16S ribosomal RNA
Rfam family: Bacterial small subunit ribosomal RNA
Source: RNAcentral
GAUGAACGCUGGCGGCGUGCUUAACACAUGCAAGUCGAACGAAGCAUUUGCGACAGAUUUUUUCGGAAUGAAGUUGCUUAUGACUGAGUGGCGGACGGGUGAGUAACGCGUGGGUAACCUGCCUUGUACUGGGGGAUAGCAGCUGGAAACGGCUGGUAAUACCGCAUAAGCGCACAAUGUUGCAUGACAUGGUGUGAAAAACUCCGGUGGUAUAAGAUGGACCCGCGUCUGAUUAGCUAGUUGGUGAGAUAACAGCCCACCAAGGCGACGAUCAGUAGCCGACCUGAGAGGGUGACCGGCCACAUUGGGACUGAGACACGGCCCAGACUCCUACGGGAGGCAGCAGUGGGGAAUAUUGCACAAUGGAGGAAACUCUGAUGCAGCGACGCCGCGUGAGUGAAGAAGUAAUUCGUUAUGUAAAGCUCUAUCAGCAGGGAAGAUAGUGACGGUACCUGAUUAAGAAGCUCCGGCUAAAUACGUG